RNAcentral lists this ribosomal RNA (156 nucleotides) under uncultured methanogenic archaeon. RNAcentral's name for it is "partial 16S ribosomal RNA". It matches the Rfam family "Archaeal small subunit ribosomal RNA", at positions 532 to 688 of the family's 1478-position model. The record is from RNAcentral. Lineage: Archaea; Methanobacteriati; Methanobacteriota.
GUUAAGUCUCUGGGGAAAUCUUUAGGUUCACUGUGAGGAUUGUCGGGGAAACUGACGAGCUUGGAGCCGGGAGAGGUUGGAGGUACUCCGGGGGUAGGGGUGAAAUCUUGUAAUCCCGGAGGGACCACCGGUGGCGAAGGCUUCUUACUGGAACGG